This 253-nucleotide ribosomal RNA is filed under the name uncultured bacterium. RNAcentral describes it as "partial 16S ribosomal RNA". It matches the Rfam family "Bacterial small subunit ribosomal RNA", at positions 524 to 776 of the family's 1533-position model. The record is from RNAcentral.
UACGAAGGGCCCGAGCGUUGCGCGGAAUCACUGGGCUUAAAGGGUGCGCAGGCGGAUCCGUAAGUGUCUUGUGAAAGCCCACCGCUCAACGGUGGAAUUGCUUGGCAGACUGCGAAUCUUGAGAUGGGUAGAGGUAACCGGAACAAUAGGUGGAGCGGUGAAAUGCGUAGAUAUCUAUUGGAACGCCCAAGGCGAAGGCAGGUUACUGGGCCUAUUCUGACGCUGAGGCACGAAAGCGUGGGGAGCAAACAGG